RNAcentral lists this transfer RNA (67 nucleotides) under pig gut metagenome. It matches the Rfam family "tRNA", at positions 6 to 65 of the family's 71-position model. Rfam says of the family: Transfer RNA (tRNA) molecules are approximately 80 nucleotides in length. The record is from RNAcentral.
CGGAGAUGGCUUAGUUGGUUAAAGCAUCUGACUGAUAUUCAGAAGAUCUUGAGUUCGAAUCUCAAUC